Molecule: ribosomal RNA, 120 nt
Filed under: Amphilophus citrinellus (Midas cichlid)
Lineage: Eukaryota; Metazoa; Chordata; Actinopteri; Cichliformes; Cichlidae
Source: RNAcentral
GCUUACUGCCAUAUCACCCUGAACACGUCCAAUCUUGUCUAAUCUCGGAAGCUAAGCAGGGUCAGGUCUGAUUAGUACUUGGCUGAGAGACCCCUCUGGGAAUACCAGCUGCUGUACAUU